GAUGAAGAACGCAGCGAAAUGCGAUAAGUAAUGUGAAUUGCAGAAUUCAGUGAAUCAUCGAAUCUUUGAACGCACAUUGCGCCCCUCGGUAUUCCGGGGGGCAUGCCUGUUCGAGCGUCAUUACAACCAUCAAGCACAGCUUGGAAAAUGGGCGUCCCCCGCGCUUCCGCGCCGGGGUGCCCCAAAACCGUCGGCAGAGUCACGCGGACCCGCCGGGCGUAGCAGAAAAGGAAGGCGUCAGCCGACCCCUCACGUCCAAUGCGACCGCGCCUCGCGCCGUAAAACCAAUGGCCCGCAAGGGCCGAACACCAAAGGUUGACCUCGGAUCAGGUAGGGAUACCCGCUGAACUUAAGCAUAUCAAUAAGCGGAGGA
Molecule: unclassified non-coding RNA, 373 nt
Filed under: soil metagenome
Description: partial contains 5.8S ribosomal RNA, internal transcribed spacer 2, and large subunit ribosomal RNA
Rfam family: 5.8S ribosomal RNA (bases 1-120)
Source: RNAcentral